Molecule: ribosomal RNA, 225 nt
Filed under: uncultured bacterium
Lineage: Bacteria
Description: partial 16S ribosomal RNA
Rfam family: Bacterial small subunit ribosomal RNA
Source: RNAcentral
CGGUAAGGUAACCUGCCUGGUAGCGGGGGAUAACUAUUGGAAACGAUAGCUAAUACCGCAUAACAGUCGACAUUGCAUGAUGUUGAUUUGAAAGGGGCAAUUGCUCCACUACCAGAUGGACCUGCGUUGUAUUAGCUAGUUGGUGAGGUAACGGCUCACCAAGGCGACGAUACAUAGCCGACCUGAGAGGGUGAUCGGCCACACUGGGACUGAGACACGGCCCAG